GAUGAACGCUAGCGGCAGGCCUAACACAUGCAAGUCGAGGGGUAGAGGAAGCCUGCUUCCUUGAGACCGGCGCACGGGUGCGUAACGCGUAUGCAAUCUACCUUAUACAGGGGAAUAGCCCAGAGAAAUUUGGAUUAAUGCCCCAUAGUGUUAUUGAAUCGCAUGGUUUAGUAACUAAAGUUCCAACGGUAUAAGAUGAGCAUGCGUCCCAUUAGUUAGUUGGUAAGGUAACGGCUUACCAAGACAAUGAUGGGUAGGGGUCCUGAGAGGGAGAUCCCCCACACUGGUACUGAGACACGGACCAGACUCCUACGGGAGGCAGCAGUGAGGAAUGUUGGACAAUGGGCGCAAGCCUGAUCCAGCCAUGCCGCGUGCAGGAAUAAGGUCCUAUGGAUUGUAAACUGCUUUUAUACAGGAAGAAACACACCCUCGUGAGGGUACUUGA
Molecule: ribosomal RNA, 445 nt
Filed under: uncultured bacterium
Lineage: Bacteria
Description: bacterial SSU rRNA
Rfam family: Bacterial small subunit ribosomal RNA
Source: RNAcentral